GGAAGGAGGGAAGGAGGGAAGGAGAAGAAAGGAAGGAAGAUGAAUAGACAAGUAAAUAAGGAAGCAGGGCAGAUAUUUUCCAAACAAGCUUAAAAAGCUCAAAGCCUUAUGACAAAUAUAUAUUCCCAUUACAAAGAAGUUGUUCCAAAAGUUAACAUUUGCAAAAUAUUAUUUUAUUAAAUGUUGCUGUUGCUUUUAUAAAUAGAGCUGGUCUACAGAAGUCAGAAUUCUUAUGCAGUGAUUGAAAUUGCUUAAAUGGAACAGCAUAAAUUGAAAUAUAUGAUAGUAUGCUUGACAGUCAUAACUUGCAGUCUUCAUGUGAUGAAAAUCUCACUUCCAGUACCUUGAAUUUUAAAUUUUCAUAUAGAGGAGUUCCCAUUGUGGCGCAGUGGAAAUGAAUCCAACUAGGAAUCAUAAGGUUGCAGGUUCGAUCCCUGGCCUUGCUCAAUGGAUUAAGGAUCCAGUGUUGCCGUGAGCUGUGGUGUAUGUAGGUCACAGACACGGCUCAGAUCAGCUGUGGCUCUGGUGUAGGCCAACAGCUAUAACUCCAAUUAGACCCCUAGCCUGGGAACUUCCAUAUGCUGCAGAUGCAGCCCUAAAAAGACAAUCAAUCAAUCAAUUUUAAUAUAGGAAUUUAUAGUAAUACACAAAUUUUCAUUUCUAAUUUGAUCUUAGUGAAUUGUGUCCUUUGUGGUUUCUGAGGAAAGACUCAGUUCUUAUUUCAAGGAACACUGGAGUGUUUUCUUAUUAGAUCCAAAAUAUAAAAGUAGGAUAUGGAGGCCUCUUGAUAAAGAUUCUUUGGAAGAAAUGACAAAGGAGAGGGGCAAAUAAGUUCCUUCUCAGGCUGUUUGCUCUGCUUAACUUCUGGCACUCCAGCGUCAGUUUCUCCAUGCUUUCUAGAGUUUCCACAUCUUGGAGUUCUAAUAUUGGUCAAUAAAAUAUGAGGGACAGAUAACUUGUCUCUUCAGCUAAUACCUCUUCAGCUUGAGAGGAAUUGUACUCAGGCUCCUGGAAUCAAAGAAACACCUUAUACCCAGAAAAGUCAAGUACAAAUUUUUUGUGGCAGAACUGAGGCUUCUGACUCCAAAUCUUAAUUGUUAGCUUCUUGGAAAAAACAAACAAACAAACAAAAAAAACUACCUUACUGACUUUAGAGCCUUAUCUCUACCUGCAUCUGAUAUAGAUUAUGAGAGCCUAGAUAUUGAGCCUGAGCCUACUGCCAUAAUGGAAUGAGAUUUUUUUUUUUUUGAGUCUUGCAAGGGAUAAGUAUAUUUUUGCAUUUAGAGAAAAUAUAAAUAAUUUGUGACAAGUGUGCAGACUGUGAUAAAGAUGAAGUUAAAUUCUUUGACACUGCUCCCAUUGAGAGAUGGAGGAAGAGGGGUGACUAUAGCUACUCUCCUUGAAUCUGGACUAGCCUGUGACUGCUUCCACCAAUAGAAGGUGGUACCAGUGAUGCUAUGUCACCUGUAGGCCUAGCCAUUAUAAGAUCCAGGACUUUCCUUUUUUUUUUUUUUUUUUGUUUGCCUAAACCAGCAUGCAAGAAACCUUAUUACCUUGAGGAGAUCAUGGUAUAAGGAAGCCCAGAGUAGCCAUAUGGAGAGGCUCUGUCAGGAGUGAAACAUGCCUGGACAACCACCAGUAAUUUCAGUUCUCUGCCACACAGAAUCAUGGCAUAUCAUAUUUUAAAUUUGUCAGUUAAAGCCAUUAAAUUUGGGGUUAGUUUGUAAUGCAGUAAUAGAUAAUUAAAGCACUAGGUGGAAGCUUUUUGUUUGUUUUUUGUUUCUAUGGUCUGCCUUCUGCCUGCCUGGACAUAAGACUUAAAGAACUAAGAAAACCUUUGAAAUUGCGAAACCAAGAACAGAACAUGAAUAAACAAACAAAUGGCUACAUAUUAAAGAUGUCAGAAUGGAUACACAGAAGGAGCUUGGGUCCUUGCUGGCACUGAUGAGCCAUCCAUAUCAGCCAGCUCAAGACUGGCUCUUCUGGAGACCAAUAAAGCCCUAUCUGCCUAGGCCAGUGUCAUUGUGGCUUUCUGUUACUUGUCACUGAAUACAUUCAGAGCUGAUACAACUAUCAAUAAAUAUUUAUUGAUUGGCUGAAUCCCUUGUUUCCCAGUCUUUUCUUUUCUAGAAGUUUAUCUUCAACAUUGCAGUCCCUGUGGGAUUUGUGGAUAUUACCUAAGGAGCACACUUCCGUGGUUGAUUCUUUUCUCAGAGAUGCUCAACUGUGAUCAGUCUCCAUCCAUUUAGUUCUUCCAGCCUUUAUUAGAAAAGUGGUUUGUUUUUUUGUUUUUGUCUAAGCAUUGCUUUGAAUUUUUAGUCCUAAGUAUGUGACUUUAAGAUGUCAGGUCUUAAGUUUUACAUUUAAAUGCCUCCUAUAUUUCCCUCGGGUUUUUGUUUUGUUUUGUUUUUUCAUUAAGUUUGAAGGAGAUCUUCUGAAUGAGGGGGACUUCAAGCACAAUCAGAAAUUCCCUGUUGCCCUUACUCUCUCUUUAGUUUGGUUUUAAGCUCUAUUUAGUUUCAUUUUUCUCAGAAGAGCAUGAAAAAAAGAAAUAAUAAAGAACAAAAUAAUGGUUCCAUAUGUAAUUGCUUCUUCUAGUUUUAAGACACCGAUAUCUAUGAGACAAUAACAACAACAACAAAAAAAAAAAGGAUGUCUCAGUACUGACAUACUAAAAUAUGUCCUCUUUGGAGUUCCCGUCGUGGCGCAGUGGUUAACGAAUCAACUAGGAACCAUGAGGUUGCGGGUUCGGUCCCUGCCCUGCCUCAGUGGGUUUAACGAUCCGGCGUUGCCGUGAGCUGUGGUGUAGGUUGUAGACGCGGCUCAGAUCCCGCGUUGCUGUGGCUCUGGCGUAGGCCGGUGGCUACAGCUCCCAUUCGACCCCUAGCCUGGGAACCUCCAUAUGCCGCGGGAGCGGCCCAAGAAAUAGCAACAACAACAACAACAAAAGACAAAAAGACAAAAAAAUAAAUAAAUAAAAUAAAAUAAAAUAAAAUAUGUCCUCUUUCCCCCAUUCAAGUCCUAGGUGACAAAUGUUAACAGAGUUAGUUAUAAAAAAUAUUCUAGUUUCUUUUACCUAAAAUUUUAAUCUUUUACUGCAUGAAGGGAGAGGGUAAGUUGAAAUGUAGGGGCAAAACGCAAGAAUUAGAAUCAAUCAGGCCUGGCUUCCAAGUUCUGGCUUUCUCUUAGUAGGCUGUAUAAUCCUGAGAAUGUCCCCUGUCAAUGCCCAUGAUCAAGAUUUUUACAGAGAAGGGUUGUUAUGAAGAUUGAAUAUGGAAAUAUGUAUAAAGCACAUACCCUGGAACCCAGCACAUGGAGAAGAGAUGACAACUGCUGACUCUGCUAUAAAAGGUAGUGAAAUACUUAAAACCUAGCCCCAUGAUUGUACCUAUAAUAUUCUCUUUUUAAAAUGGGUUUUUGGAAUUAUCAUAAGUAAAUUCUCAAGUCCUUUAAAAGUCUACAUUCUGCAUUUUAAAAUAUGAGUAAAAUAAUUAUAAACCAGUAAGAAAUAAGCCUGAAACACCGAAGUGCCUACUUUUGGUGCAAUUUAUAUCUUAAGUCUUCUAAAUGGAAAUAUUGGAAGAAGUAAGAUUACUGUUUUGGAAAUACUGGAUUAAGCAAAAGCUAAGAUUUGCCAAAUAUGGAAUUGAAGUUAAAUUAACUAAGUGAUAAAAUGAAAAAAGAAACAAAUCAAAAAUUAUUUAUGGUACCUCAACAAAUAUAACAUUACAGAUACCUAAUGAAUCCUGAUGGCUAAAGUGAUGGAGUAACCACUCUGACUUCCUCAGUUUCUCCAGUAUGGUCUCUGAAUAUUUGUACUCUUAGAAAAUAUUUUAUGAAAAGUAUCACAUGUACUUUUCCAUGGAGUAAAACCAACUGUAGAAUGUACAUUUAAUAAUAGAUUGCAAGAGACCCUCUAAGAAGACUUUUUGUUUUAUAAUUUAAUAUUUAUUUGGACUUGUUCUCCCAUAUGAUAAACUAAAGAUGUUCUAUUUAGUUCAGAGAAAAUCCUACUUGCAGGUUUACAGACACAUUCCUGUUAAGUGAUAGUGUAAUUCCUAAUGAUUUAAUUUGGAACCCAAGUCUGCAUCACAGUGUCAUAGUUGGAAUAUUUGCCUCUCAUUUUGACAAGUUCUGCUAAUGUUUAUUUUAUGCCUAUUGGAAAAGGGGACUUGCAUGGGGGGGUGACGCUCAUUCUUUCAGUGUUUUCCAGGACUAAAAAAAUGAGCAGUGAAUAGGACAGUUUCAAGAUAAUUAUCUUUUUUCAUUAGUUUAAAGUGACUUUUUGAGAGAUUAGAAGUAACAGUUGGCAAAAGGCAUAAUAAUUUGCACAUAUUAGACAUGCAUUGUAUAAAAAUUUUUUCCUUUUGGAAAAAAGUCUUUUAUAUCUGAAAAACCAGGAAAAAUAUACUUAAAAUAUAAGAGUUUGUUGAUUGAUUCCUCCUUAUUUUACUGGGUUGAAAGACUUUCCUUAGCCACAUUAUUCAUCAAGUAAGUGAUUUUCUUUAAUUUUAUAUCAAUUUCAGUAAAUAGGUUUCAAGAAUAGUCUUUUAGUGGAGCAAGAACAAAUUUAUGCCAGCCCCAUUUGAAUUUAAUUGUGUCAUUAUAGUACACAAUUACAGGAACCCAAAAGUCAUAAAACAUCCUAUAGAAACUCCAAAGAAAAAAACACCAAAAUUAAACUACAACUUUUGGGCACCUCAUUUACAUACUAGUCAAGGGAAAGAUAGCUAGCUUCUACUCCUUUAUAUAUGUCUUCAAGCCUUCAAACACCACUUUCACAGUAAAAAAUUUU
RNAcentral lists this long non-coding RNA (4795 nucleotides) under Sus scrofa (pig). RNAcentral's name for it is "lncRNA (ENSSSCG00005008998.1)". Lineage: Eukaryota; Metazoa; Chordata; Mammalia; Artiodactyla; Suidae. The record is from RNAcentral.